Molecule: non-coding RNA, 45 nt
Filed under: Trichobilharzia regenti
Lineage: Eukaryota; Metazoa; Platyhelminthes; Trematoda; Strigeidida; Schistosomatidae
Source: RNAcentral
ACCCGGGUGACGAGUCCCACAUAGGACGAAAUGCGCGUGUUGGAU